UGCUCAGCCAGGGCCCUCCCACCCACUCCCCAAUGCGGCCUCACCUGGGGCAGAAGCCCCUAGCUCCUCUGAGCCUCAUGGGGCCAGAGGAAGCAGUAGUUCGGGCGGCAAGAAAUGCUACAAGCUGGAGAAUGAGAAGCUGUUCGAAGAGGCGUUGACCCUGCACUAUCAGAUCCUGUGUUGGCCCGGCGCCUUCGGGAAAACCGGAGUUUGGCCAUGAGUCGGCUGGAUGAGGUCAUCUCCAAAUAUGCAAUGUUGCAAGACAAAAGUGAGGAGGGCGAGAGAAAAAAGAGAAGAGCUCGGCUCCAAGGCACCUCUUCCCACUCUGCAGACACCCCCGAAGCCUCCUUGGAUUCUGGUGAGGGCCCUAGUGGAAUGGCAUCCCAGGGGUGCCCUUCUGCCUCCAGAGCUGAGACAGAUGACGAAGACGAUGAGGAGAGUGAUGAGGAAGAGGAGGAGGAGGAGGAAGAAGAAGAGGAGGAGGCCACAGAUUCUGAAGAGGAGGAGGAUCUGGAACAGAUGCAGGAGGGUCAGGAGGAUGAUGAAGAGGAGGACGAAGAGGAAGAAGCAGCAGCAGGUAAAGAUGGAGACAAGAGCCCCAUGUCCUCACUACAGAUCUCCAAUGAAAAGAACCUGGAACCUGGCAAACAGAUCAGCAGAUCUUCAGGGGAGCAGCAAAACAAAGGACGCAUAGUGUCACCAUCGUUACUGUCAGAAGAACCCCUGGCCCCCUCCAGCAUAGAUGCUGAAAGCAAUGGAGAACAGCCUGAGGAGCUGACCCUGGAGGAAGAAAGCCCUGUGUCUCAGCUCUUUGAGCUAGAGAUUGAAGCUUUGCCCCUGGAUACCC
This 847-nucleotide unclassified non-coding RNA is filed under the name Homo sapiens (human). RNAcentral's name for it is "death domain associated protein (ENSG00000206279.10, ENSG00000231617.8)". Lineage: Eukaryota; Metazoa; Chordata; Mammalia; Primates; Hominidae. The record is from RNAcentral.